RNAcentral lists this ribosomal RNA (446 nucleotides) under uncultured bacterium. RNAcentral's name for it is "partial 16S ribosomal RNA". It matches the Rfam family "Bacterial small subunit ribosomal RNA", at positions 338 to 795 of the family's 1533-position model. The record is from RNAcentral.
CCUACGGGAGGCAGCAGUCGAGAAUCAUUCACAAUGGGGGAAACCCUGAUGGUGCGACGCCGCGUGGGGGAAUGAAGGUCUUCGGAUUGUAAAUCCCUGUCAUGUGGGAGCAAAUUAAAAAGAUAGUACCACACGAGGAAGAGACGGCUAACUCUGUGCCAGCAGCCGCGGUAAUACAGAGGUCUCAAGCGUUGUUCGGAAUCACUGGGCGUAAAGCGUGCGUAGGCUGUUUCGUAAGUCGUGUGUGAAAGGCGCGGGCUCAACCCGCGGACGGCACAUGAUACUGCGAGACUAGAGUAAUGGAGGGGGAACCGGAAUGCUCGGUGUAGCAGUGAAAUGCGUAGAUAUCGAGAGGAACACUCGUGGCGAAGGCGGGUUCCUGGACAUUAACUGACGCUGAGGCACGAAGGCCAGGGGAGCGAAAGGGAUUAGAUACCCCUGUAGUC